This 252-nucleotide ribosomal RNA is filed under the name uncultured bacterium. Its description in RNAcentral is "partial 16S ribosomal RNA". It matches the Rfam family "Bacterial small subunit ribosomal RNA", at positions 524 to 776 of the family's 1533-position model. The record is from RNAcentral.
UACGUAGGGGCCAAGCGUUGUCCGGAAUCAUUGGGCGUAAAGGGCGUGUAGGCGGUCUGAUAAGUCAGAUGUUAAAUCUACGAGCUCAACUCGUAGCCGCAUCUGAUACUGUCAGGCUAGAGAAUGGUAGAGGAAAGCGGAACUUCCGGUGUAGCGGUGAAAUGCGUAGAUAUCGGAAGGAACACCAGUGGCGAAGGCGGCUUUCGGGGCCAUUUCUGACGAUGAGACGCGAAAGCUAGGGGAGCGAACGGG